RNAcentral lists this long non-coding RNA (222 nucleotides) under Homo sapiens (human). Its description in RNAcentral is "non-protein coding lnc-SLC22A23-2:7". Lineage: Eukaryota; Metazoa; Chordata; Mammalia; Primates; Hominidae. The record is from RNAcentral.
GCGGGGUCCGGCGGGUGACAUGGGGGCGGCCUGACGCACCCGGAGCCGCCGAGCGCUCUCUCUCGAGCCGCGGGCCCUCCUCGGCGGCAGCGGCUGCAGGCGCCUGGCCCGGCGCGCUGUGCCCGGGGCGCCCGCGGAGCCUCCGCCGCGCUCUAUGCGCCUCUGCGGGAGCCGCGGGCCCGGGCCAUGGCCACUCCUGAAGCUCUUUGACUUUAUGAGGUU